ACACCAGGAAAGAGUAUUCCCCAUUACAUCAGGUAGUGAUGCCAAAAAGACUAGAACAUCGUCAGGUAGUGAUGCCAUAAAGACUAGAACAUCGUCAGGUAGUGAUGCAAUAAAGACUAGAACAUCGUCAGGUAGUGAUGCCAUAAAGACUAGAACAUCGUCAGGUAGUGAUGCCAUAAAGACUAGAACAUCGUCAGGUAGUGAUGCCAUAAAGACUAGAACAUCGUCAGGUAGUGAUGCCAUAAAGACUAGAACAUCGUCAGGUAGUGAUGCCAUAAAGACUAGAACAUCGUCAGGUAGUGAUGCCAUAAAGACUAGAACAUCGUCAGGUAGUGAUGCCAUAAAGACUAGAACAUCGUCAGGUAGUGAUGCCAUAAAGACUAGAACAUCGUCAGGUAGUGAUGCCAUAAAGACUAGAACAUCGUCAGGUAGUGAUGCCAUAAAGACUAGAACAUCGUCAGGUAGUGAUGCCAUAAAGACUAGAACAUCGUCAGGUAGUGAUGCCAUAAAGACUAGAACAUCGUCAGGUAGUGAUGCCAUAAAGACUAGAACAUCGUCAGGUAGUGAUGCCAUAAAGACUAGAACAUCGUCAGGUAGUGAUGCCAUAAAGACUAGAACAUCGUCAGGUAGUGAUGCCAUAAAGACUAGAACAUCGUCAGGUAGUGAUGCCAUAAAGACUAGAACAUCGUCAGGUAGUGAUGCAAUAAAGACUAGAACAUCGUCAGGUAGUGAUGCAAUAAAGACUAGAACAUCGUCAGGUAGUGAUGCAAUAAAGACUAGAACAUCAGGUAGUGAUGCCAUAAAGACUAGAACAUCGUCAGGUAGUGAUGCAAUAAAGACUAGAACAUCGUCAGGUAGUGAUGCAAUAAAGACUAGAACAUCGUCAGGUAGUGAUGCAAUAAAGACUAGAACAUCGUCAGGUAGUGAUGCAAUAAAGACUAGAACAUCGUCAGGUAGUGAUGCCAUAAAGACUAGAACAUCAGGUAGUGAUGCAAUAAAGACUAGAACAUCGUCAGGUAGUGAUGCCAUAAAGACUAGAACAUCGUCAGGUAGUGAUGCAAUAAAGACUAGAACAUCGUCAGGUAGUGAUGCAAUAAAGACUAGAACAUCGUCAGGUAGUGAUGCAAUAAAGACUAGAACAUCGUCAGGUAGUGAUGCAAUAAAGACUAGAACAUCGUCAGGUAGUGAUGCCAUAAAGACUAGAACAUCAGGUAGUGAUGCAAUAAAGACUAGAACAUCGUCAGGUAGUGAUGCCAUAAAGACUAGAACAUCAGGUAGUGAUGCAAUAAAGACCAUUCCACCAUUGGGUAGUGACAUCAUAAAGACCUUUACAUUUUUGGGUAGUGAUGCCACAAUGACAUCUUUACCUAAUGAUGUAAUAGUCUAAGACAAGCACAUCAAUUACCUCAACUAACCUGUACCCCCGCACACUGACUCGGUACUGGUGCCCCCUGUAACCUUGUUAUUGUGUUUUAGUCUACUUGAUAAAUAUUUUCUUAACUCUUCUUGAACUGCACUGUUGGGUUAAGGGCUUGUAAGUAAGCAUUUCACGGUAAAGUCUACACUUGUUGUAUUCGGCGCAUGUGACAAAUAAAGUUUGAUUUGAUGAUUAGGUAGUGAUGUCAUAAAAGUGUAGUUGGAUGUUGAG
This is a long non-coding RNA of Oncorhynchus keta (chum salmon), 1648 nucleotides long. RefSeq lists it as uncharacterized. The record is from RefSeq and is a predicted model, not a curated record. The transcript has 6 exons. Lineage: Eukaryota; Metazoa; Chordata; Actinopteri; Salmoniformes; Salmonidae.